UACGAGAGGCCCAAACGUUGUUCGGAUUCAUUGGGCGUAAAGGGUGCGUAGGCGGUCGGGUAAGUCGGAUGUGAAAUCCCAGGGCUCAACCCUGGAACUGCAUUCGAUACUGCCUGGCUAGGGUACUGGAGAGGAGACUGGAAUUUACGGUGUAGCAGUGAAAUGCGUAGAUAUCGUAAGGAAGACCAGUGGCGAAGGCGAGUCUCUGGACAGUUACCGACGCUGAGGCACGAAGGUCAGGGGAGCAAACGGG
Molecule: ribosomal RNA, 253 nt
Filed under: uncultured bacterium
Lineage: Bacteria
Description: partial 16S ribosomal RNA
Rfam family: Bacterial small subunit ribosomal RNA
Source: RNAcentral